UGGUGGUUGAUGGUAGUGCUUUUUGUUUUGUUUUGUUGUGGGGCCUGGGGUUGAGGGAAAUGAUUUUUUUCCUACUCAAAAUGCACAACCAAAACAAUAAGGCUUUGCUGCUGGAAGAAAUGAAUAGUGUAGACAGAAAUGUGGACUAGGUGAAUAAAAAAAAAUGAGAGAAAUCAAUGGUGAUUUUUUUAUUUGCUCCGUUUUACCUAGUAUCGUCAUCUAGCACCAUCCAUCAGACAUUUCUUUGACACUUGAAAUUGUUUUUCACCUUUGAAAAACUCUCUGGUUCUUACUUUCUCCUUUGGGGGUGGGGAGUAGGCAAAGGGAGGAGCAUGACUGGGUAGAAGGAAGACUGGAUUUGGACAGAGUGAAAAUGAAUUUCAAUUUGUACUGAACGUUCUUGUGGAUCCAACUUUGAGUCAGUUUCAGUUUCUCUUUCUGUAGAGCCCCCUCCAAGUCGACUGCUUGCCUUACCGGAGGCAGUCUCUGGAGGCAGCAUUCAGGUUUGCAUUUAAAAAGCUACUUAGCACUGCUAUCCAGGAAUUCUGAGUUCUGUCCCAGCACCUGUUGCUCCGCGAGCCCACUGGCAGUUAAGGAACCAUGUGGCGGGAUCUGGGGUCAGAAGAAAUCUGGGCCAGGGCAACCAAGGCAGAGACCACUCUGAGCCUUGGUUUAUGUUAUCGAUUAUAGAGUCAUACGAACGCUGGAAAAAAAUGACUCUGAGCACUAGUGACACUGGUAUCACAAAAGAUAAACUAAUGGAGUUAGAUAAGACUUGGGAUCUGAUUCUUUCCGAGUACAAUGAGAUCUCUGAUUCCUCCAUAAACAUGGGGGAAGAAGAGGAAAACUCUAAUCAAACGGUUUGAAAAUAAUAUUGUAAGUGACAAGCAGAUAAAGUUAGAUGAUGAAAUCAAACUAUUGAAUGAGACAAAUUCGGUUCCUGUAAGAGAAAACAAAUGGUAUAAG
Molecule: long non-coding RNA, 966 nt
Filed under: Monodelphis domestica (gray short-tailed opossum)
Lineage: Eukaryota; Metazoa; Chordata; Mammalia; Didelphimorphia; Didelphidae
Description: lncRNA (ENSMODG00000045939.1)
Source: RNAcentral